GCUCCGUAGGUGAACCUGCGGAGGGAUCAUUACAGAGUUCAUGCCCUACCGGGUAGAUCUCCCACCCUAUGUUAUUAUUACUUUGUUGCUUUGGCGGGCCGUUAGGCUCCGGCCCGACUACCGGCCCCGGCUGGUAAGCGCCCGCCAGAGGACCCAAAACCCUGAAUAUUAGUGUCGUCUGAGUACUAUAUAAUAGUUAAAACUUUCAACAACGGAUCUCUUGGUUCUG
Molecule: unclassified non-coding RNA, 229 nt
Filed under: plant metagenome
Description: partial contains small subunit ribosomal RNA, internal transcribed spacer 1, and 5.8S ribosomal RNA
Source: RNAcentral